UGGAGGUAGAGCACUGUUUGGACGAGGGGCCCCUCUCGGGUUACCGAAUUCAGACAAACUCCGAAUGCCAAUUAAUUUAACUUGGGAGUCAGAACAUGGGUGAUAAGGUCCGUGUUCGAAAGGGAAACAGCCCAGACCACCAGCUAAGGUCCCAAAAUAUAUGUUAAGUGGAAAAGGAUGUGGCGUUGCCCAGACAACUAGGAUGUUGGCUUAGAAGCAGCCAUCAUUUAAAGAGUGCGUAAUAGCUCACUAGUCGAGUGACACUGCGCCGAAAAUGUACCGGGGCUAAACAUAUUACCGAAGCUGUGGAUUGUCCUUUGGACAAUGGUAGGAGAGCGUUCUAAGGGCGUUGAAGCAUGAUCGUAAGGACAUGUGGAGCGCUUAGAAGUGAGAAUGCCGGUGUGAGUAGCGAAAGACGGGUGAGAAUCCCGUCCACCGAUUGACUAAGGUUUCCAGAGGAAGGCUCGUCCGCUCUGGGUUAGUCGGGUCCUAAGCUGAGGCCGACAGGCGUAGGCGAUGGAUAACAGGUUGAUAUUCCUGU
Molecule: ribosomal RNA, 541 nt
Filed under: Staphylococcus aureus
Lineage: Bacteria; Bacillati; Bacillota; Bacilli; Caryophanales; Staphylococcaceae
Description: partial 23S ribosomal RNA
Rfam family: Bacterial large subunit ribosomal RNA
Source: RNAcentral